GGGAGUAGAUAGGCGCUGGUGUGCCUCCUAGACUUCAAAUCUACGGUCUCGCUAUUUAAGCGAGAGGUGGGUUCGAUUCCCACAUACUCCCGCCA
Molecule: transfer RNA, 95 nt
Filed under: Caldanaerobacter subterraneus subsp. tengcongensis MB4
Lineage: Bacteria; Bacillati; Bacillota; Clostridia; Thermoanaerobacterales; Thermoanaerobacteraceae
Also listed under: 4 other names
Description: tRNA-SeC (TCA) (tRNA-SeC-TCA-1-1)
Rfam family: Selenocysteine transfer RNA
Source: RNAcentral